CUCAGAUUGAACGCUGGCGGCAGGCCUAACACAUGCAAGUCGAGCGGUAGCACAGAGAGCUUGCUCUCGGGUGACGAGCGGCGGACGGGUGAGUAAUGUCUGGGAAACUGCCUGAUGGAGGGGGAUAACUACUGGAAACGGUAGCUAAUACCGCAUAAUGUCGCAAGACCAAAGUGGGGGACCUUCGGGCCUCAUGCCAUCAGAUGUGCCCAGAUGGGAUUAGCUAGUAGGUGGGGUAACGGCUCACCUAGGCGACGAUCCCUAGCUGGUCUGAGAGGAUGACCAGCCACACUGGAACUGAGACACGGUCCAGACUCCUACGGGAGGCAGCAGUGGGGAAUAUUGCACAAUGGGCGCAAGCCUGAUGCAGCCAUGCCGCGUGUGUGAAGAAGGCCUUCGGGUUGUAAAGCACUUUCAGCGGGGAGGAAGGCGAUAAGGUUAAUAACCUUGUCGAUUGACGUUACCCGCAGAAGAAGCACCGGCUAACUCCGUGCCAGCAGCCGCGGUAAUACGGAGGGUGCAAGCGUUAAUCGGAAUUACUGGGCGUAAAGCGCACGCAGGCGGUCUGUCAAGUCGGAUGUGAAAUCCCCGGGCUCAACCUGGGAACUGCAUUCGAAACUGGCAGGCUAGAGUCUUGUAGAGGGGGGUAGAAUUCCAGGUGUAGCGGUGAAAUGCGUAGAGAUCUGGAGGAAUACCGGUGGCGAAGGCGGCCCCCUGGACAAAGACUGACGCUCAGGUGCGAAAGCGUGGGGAGCAAACAGGAUUAGAUACCCUGGUAGUCCACGCCGUAAACGAUGUCGAUUUGGAGGUUGUGCCCUUGAGGCGUGGCUUCCGGAGCUAACGCGUUAAAUCGACCGCCUGGGGAGUACGGCCGCAAGGUUAAAACUCAAAUGAAUUGACGGGGGCCCGCACAAGCGGUGGAGCAUGUGGUUUAAUUCGAUGCAACGCGAAGAACCUUACCUGGUCUUGACAUCCACAGAACUUAGCAGAGAUGCUUUGGUGCCUUCGGGAACUGUGAGACAGGUGCUGCAUGGCUGUCGUCAGCUCGUGUUGUGAAAUGUUGGGUUAAGUCCCGCAACGAGCGCAACCCUUAUCCUUUGUUGCCAGCGGUCCGGCCGGGAACUCAAAGGAGACUGCCAGUGAUAAACUGGAGGAAGGUGGGGAUGACGUCAAGUCAUCAUGGCCCUUACGACCAGGGCUACACACGUGCUACAAUGGCAUAUACAAAGAGAAGCGACCUCGCGAGAGCAAGCGGACCUCAUAAAGUAUGUCGUAGUCCGGAUUGGAGUCUGCAACUCGACUCCAUGAAGUCGGAAUCGCUAGUAAUCGUAGAUCAGAAUGCUACGGUGAAUACGUUCCCGGGCCUUGUACACACCGCCCGUCACACCAUGGGAGUGGGUUGCAAAAGAAGUAGGUAGCUUAACCUUCGGGAGGGCGCUUACCACUUUGUGAUUCAUGACUGGGG
RNAcentral lists this ribosomal RNA (1465 nucleotides) under Klebsiella pneumoniae. RNAcentral describes it as "bacterial SSU rRNA". It matches the Rfam family "Bacterial small subunit ribosomal RNA". Lineage: Bacteria; Pseudomonadati; Pseudomonadota; Gammaproteobacteria; Enterobacterales; Enterobacteriaceae. The record is from RNAcentral.